This 351-nucleotide ribosomal RNA is filed under the name Triticum aestivum (bread wheat). RNAcentral describes it as "partial small subunit ribosomal RNA". The record is from RNAcentral. Lineage: Eukaryota; Viridiplantae; Streptophyta; Magnoliopsida; Poales; Poaceae.
AUGAAUCUGCUAUGCUGGAAUUGUCAUGGGAUUGGCAAUGCCCCGACAAUUCAAGAGCUACGCGAACUCGUGAUAAAGUUUUCUCCUAGAGUACUUUGCUUGCUGGAAACCCAUAUUAGUGGUGAUAGAGCUGAAAACUUAAAAAGCACUCUAGGUUAUGAUAACUCUUUUUCUGUUGAUUCCUCUGGUAGGAGGAAAGGUUUAGCAAUGUAUUGGAAUAAUGAAAUAAAGAUUGAUAAUUUGGGUUACUCGCAGUAUCACAUAUAUGUGAAAAAUUCAGAGCUUGGAGGUGUGAUACGUAUCCAACGUAUCUACUUUUCCAAACACUUUUGCCCUUGUUUUGGACUCUAA